RNAcentral lists this non-coding RNA (148 nucleotides) under Pan troglodytes (chimpanzee). Lineage: Eukaryota; Metazoa; Chordata; Mammalia; Primates; Hominidae. The record is from Rfam by way of RNAcentral.
GCUGGGCAUGGUGGCGGGUGCCUGUAAUCCCAGCUACUCAGGAGGCUGAGGCAGGAGAAUCACUUGAACCCAGGAGAUGGAGGUUGCAGUGAGCCAAGAUCGUGCCACUGCACUCCAGCCUGGGUGACAGAGUGAGAUUCCAUCUCAA